GUAGGUUACGGAGACAUAUACCCAACCACUCCCCUUGGCAAAGUUAUAGGAAGCAUAUGUUGUAUAUGCGGUGUUUUGGUGAUCGCGUUGCCCAUUCCUAUUAUAGUUAACAAU
Regulatory RNA element from Oryctes borbonicus, 114 nucleotides. It matches the Rfam family "Potassium channel RNA editing signal". From Rfam's summary of the family: This family represents a group of sequences related to the human potassium channel Kv1.1 hairpin element which directs the efficient modification of an adenosine to inosine by an adenosine deaminase acting on RNA (ADAR). The ADAR modification causes an isoleucine/valine recoding event which lies in the ion-conducting pore of the potassium channel. The record is from Rfam. Lineage: Eukaryota; Metazoa; Arthropoda; Insecta; Coleoptera; Scarabaeidae.